Molecule: long non-coding RNA, 99 nt
Organism: Octodon degus (degu)
Lineage: Eukaryota; Metazoa; Chordata; Mammalia; Rodentia; Octodontidae
Exons: 4
Source: RefSeq, a predicted model, not a curated record
AUGACAUGCAUUACUAGGGAUUGAACUGCAAUCCUUGUGCUUGCCAGGCAGUGGCCUAGACCACUACGCUAUCUCCCUAACCCUAGGACUAAUACUUGA